Molecule: non-coding RNA, 195 nt
Filed under: Neobacillus sp. PS3-12
Lineage: Bacteria; Bacillati; Bacillota; Bacilli; Caryophanales; Bacillaceae
Description: 6S RNA
Rfam family: 6S / SsrS RNA
About the family: E. coli 6S RNA was the first non coding RNA to be sequenced, but its function was unknown until recently. It consists of 184 nucleotides that fold into an extended hairpin structure with a large single-stranded internal bulge.
Source: RNAcentral
CAUAAGCUGCGUUGUUCGUAAUCAUAAUAAAGUUUUAACCUUUAAGCUGUAAAAGGGAGUUUUAAUUGAAACAGGAAUGACAAGCCUCUGUCUACAAGACAUGGAGGACAUGCAGGAUAGUUUCUGCGAACACCCACUUUGAGGAGUGGUGGUUUAAAACUUUCUUAUAUUAUCUACGGCAAAUGCGGCUCCUUA